Molecule: ribosomal RNA, 457 nt
Filed under: uncultured bacterium
Lineage: Bacteria
Description: SSU rRNA
Rfam family: Bacterial small subunit ribosomal RNA
Source: RNAcentral
AGGAUGAACGCUGGCGGCGUGCCUAAUACAUGCAAGUCGAGCGGCAGCGCGGUCUUCGGACUGGCGGCGAGCGGCGGACGGCUGAGUAACACGUAGGAACGUACCCCAAAGUGAGGCAUAAAGCACCAGAAAUGGUGUCUAAUACCACAUGUGCUCUAAGGAGUAAAGCUUCGGUGCUUUGGGAACGGCCUGCGCAUGAUUAGCUUGUUGGUGAGGUAAUGGCUCACCAAGGCGACGAUCAUUAGCUGGUCUGAGAGGAUGACCAGCCAGACUGGGACUGGGAACGGCCCAGACUCCUACGGGAGGCAGCAGUAGGGAAUUUUCCACAAUGGGCGAAAGCCUGAUGGAGCAACGCCGCGUGCAGGAUGAAGGCUCUAGGGUCGUAAACUGCUUUUAUCUGUGACGAAUAUGACGUAGCAGAUGAAUAAGGAUCGGCUAACUCCGUGCCAGCAGCCGC